CACCUGACCUGAUUUACAUUGAGUAAUAGCACCUGUUGUGUUAUGGAGUAAUUUAAUACUGUGUGGAGUACAAGAAGUUGUUUGUAAUAAAUGGAGAAGGGAAGACUUCUAAAUAAGAUAUUCUACAUCAUUCCCUGGAAGCAUUCAGGGAACAUACCUGAAUUAGCAUUUCAGUAUGAAUUAGGAACGUGCUUUUGAAGUAAAGCUCCCCAUUGUCUCUACUUGCUGUGCUUGGAUUCACAUUUUGAAGUGGUCUUGGAGAGCACAAGACGGACGUUUGUGGGGGUAACCAAACAAUGUGCUCCAGCCAUUUCCAGCUACAGGGUGUGUCUGGGUCCUCCGCUGAGGCAGGCAGAAUCACUCUGCUGCAGGAAGGUGCCUAAAUUUGAGGCACUGAAAGCUUGUAUCAGCUGUCUGAAGGAAAAAAUGCAGUGCCACACAGGUUUCAAAAAGCAGACAUUGUAAGUGAUUCCUGCUUAUUGAGUAACAAUAUUAUAAAAAGAUGUAAAAAAUGGGGAAUAGUUAUAGAUUACAUAUUGCUUGAAUCAAGUAUUCUUAGAGAAAAAUAGAAU
Molecule: long non-coding RNA, 572 nt
Filed under: Cyanistes caeruleus (blue tit)
Lineage: Eukaryota; Metazoa; Chordata; Aves; Passeriformes; Paridae
Description: lncRNA (ENSCCEG00000016512.1)
Source: RNAcentral